GAUCCUGGCUCAGAAUCAACGCUGGCGGCGCGCCUAACACAUGCAAGUCGCACGAGAAAGGGGAGCAAUCCCUGAGUAAAGUGGCGCACGGGUGAGUAACACGUGAAUAAUCUACCUCCGAGUGGGGAAUAACUGAGAGAAAUCUUAGCUAAUACCGCAUAAUACCCACGGGUCAAAGCAGCAAUGCGCUUGGAGAGGAGUUCGCGGCCGAUUAGCUAGUUGGCGGGGUAAUGGCCCACCAAGGCGAUGAUCGGUAUCCGGCCUGAGAGGGCGCACGGACACACUGGAACUGAAACACGGUCCAGACUCCUACGGGAGGCAGCAG
Molecule: ribosomal RNA, 325 nt
Filed under: uncultured Acidobacteriota bacterium
Lineage: Bacteria; Pseudomonadati; Acidobacteriota
Description: bacterial SSU rRNA
Rfam family: Bacterial small subunit ribosomal RNA
Source: RNAcentral